UAGAGGGCAUGGAUUAUAUCUUCUACAUAAAGUUAGCACCAUGACCCAUUUUUUGUCUAGGUCAUCAGGGAAGGAAUUCAUUCUGGAUAUCCAUUAUGACUUUACAUGGGCACAGAGAAGGCACAAUUAAACAAUGAUGACUUCUAGCCUCUGGGUUCAUCUCAGUAGAAUGGCAGUGCUUCUUCCAAACUCCACUCAGGGAGGAGACAAUUCUGUUGCUGAUUGAAGGGUCCCCACUUGGAAGUGUCAUAUUGAAUCUGGCCUAAAUAAUGUGACAAAAGCCAGACAGAUGGGAUUGGGGAAGAAAACACAGAGCUAGGGUAAGAUCAACCUUCACUGCCCCCACCCUCCGCCGCCUUGCACAUUUGUUUUGCUUACUUGAAUGAAAUAUGGAGCUAUUUUAAAUUCCCACAUAACACAAUGGUAUCAAUAAAAUGUAGCCUAGUUAAAAAAAUGUAUUUUAUUUUUCCAUUUGUGAUUACAUUAAGCUUCCGUGAAAAUGGAACACACCAGUUUCACAGCAGGGGAAGAUAGAUACAGCAAGAUUAGAGAGGCAAGAUGUUCAGGAUUAGAAGGAUCUGUAUGGCUGAAAGUGAGGUAAUGAUAAUGAUUAUGUGAUAAUAGUACUGUUGUGCUGUUUUAUGAGGCAGUAAUCCAGCUCCCAAAGCAGAUAAACUAUGGGGGUGAAGGCUGAGUUUAUCCCAUGGAGGGCAAUAGAUUGUUGCUGAAUAACCCAGCAUGACAGUAAGGCUUUUUCUUUUUCAAAGUGAGGGUUUAAAAGUAAGUUUUAAAAUAAAAUGAGUAACUUCCCAAAUUUGAGCAAGUGAACAGCCAAGCAGCAGUAAAAGAAAAGCACGUUGUGCAGGAGGAUGGGGGGCUUGUGGGGUGGAGACAGUAUUCUUUUAUGCAAUGGAAACUGGAGUUCUAGUAAAAGGAGACAAAAUUUCCAGGAUCCAAAAUAAAAACAAAAACAAAUCCUCACUAGCAUACAUAUUGGCAGCUGAAAUGAAGUGGUAUUUUUCUAGAAAAGUAUUAACUACUGCAGAAUGCAAGUGUAUUUUCAUUCAUCUCAUUUUAAGUCAUUGUUCAUUCGUGCUUGACAAGUUACUAUGUGGAAGGGGCUACAUUAGUUAUAGCAGCAGUUACAGACAAAUGGCAUAUUAUCCUUUGUUUCUAUGAGCUUGCAGAUCAGUACUGCUAAUAAGCUGGCAAAAGAGCUCAGUCUUCAGUUUUUCUUCUGUAACAAUGACUGACCAGAAGCAAAUCUAACUCAGUCUUGGGGAUUCCUCCUUACCCCCACAUGUAUAUAGGCAUGUCAGAGCUUAUUUGGUUCUAGAAAAUGGAGGAGGGAUGGGAUUCAAUCCUCAGUCCAUGUUGGUCACUCCUUCCGGGCUCUUCACUUAGACGUGUGGCAUCAGUUCAAUUUGGGUGGCUCCACUGGCAGCUGGUUUUACUCUGGGACAGCUGGGAAAAUGUUACUUCAGCUCCCAAAGCCUUAGUGCUUAGUCCACAUUCUUUCCCCCUCACUGGCUGCCAGCAGGCAUCCCCUUAUGGUAUUGUCACCUCAGAAGACACCCUGUCAGAUGGGCUCAUGCAUCCUUUACCAUGUAGAACUGCUUUCCCUGUCUUUUCUAAGUAUUUGGAAACAAUUUGACUCCAUCCCCACAACCAAGGGAUGGGGCCACUUCUAUCAUUGAAUUCUCAUCUGCUCCUCCAUUCUCACACAAAAUUCAAGCUCAGUACUGUGGCUUCCAAUGCAGGGCCCAGUUAGGGUUUGUCUUGGAGGUGCCUACCCAUCUGGACCUUCUUUGCAGCCUAUCAUUCAAAAAAACCAAUUUCAAGGAUAGUGAAAUGGCUUUUAAGUUCUGGGGGAUGUGCAGAUGGAAAAACAAACAGAAAAAAAUCCCAAAAGCUUUUAUUUCUCAUUAGUGAAGCUAAAUUUGAGAAAAACCAGGCUAACUGAAGUUCUCAAGAGGUUAUUCUGCCACACUGAUUUCUCCAUAAAGUUCCUGCUAUACUUGAGAAGAGGAAGUAGUGUGUCUGUUUGUUCACCAUUGAAUUCCUAACAUCUAUCAAAUUGCCUUGCUUAUCAUAGGUCUACUGUACUUUUUUGAAUAAAUAGUGAAUGCAUCAGGCAGUUAAAUAAUUAACAGACAUGCGUUAAUGUGACUGCUUUGGUGAUUGUCCAUCUCUGAGAACACCAGAGAGCAUUUAUUCACAGAUAUUUACAGAGUCCUUAUGUGUUCUGGGCACUGUUUCAGUACUUGGAGUCCAUCACUGCACACAACAGACAAGGACCCCUGCCCUCAUGGAGCUUUCAUCCUAGCCGAGGUGGCAAUGAACAAUACAUAUAUUCAAAAAUGAGUUGUUAAAUGUGUUAGGAAAUAAGUAUUAUGGGAAAAAAUAAGGCCAAGCAGAGCGAAGGAGAUACUGCAUAAGGGGCAAUUCACCUUAUUAAGCAGAGAGGUCAGAGUUGACCUCAUAGAGAACGUGGUAUAGAACAAACACGGGUGGACCAGAGUUACUCAAGCACAUGUUUAGAGCAGUAACACUCUCUGGGUAGAGAAAAAACAACCGCAGCAAAGGUGGGAAGUGUGUUUGGCAUUUUUAAAAAUUGUAACAAAAUGCACAUAACAUAAAAUUCAUCAUUUUCACUAUUUUAAGUGUAUAAUUUUGUGGUGUUUAGUACAUUCACAGUGUGCAAGUAUCACUAUUAUCUAGUUCUAGAACAUUUUUGUUACCCUGAAAGAAGAUUCCAUACUCGUUGAAAGUCAUCCCCUAUCUUUCCUCCCCCCAGCAUCUGGCAAUCUCUAAUCUGCUUUCUGCUUCUAUAGAUGCGCUUGGCUUUUGGAGGAAGACCAGGAAGCUAAUGUGGACAGGAGCCUCAUAAGUGAAAGGGAGCUUCGUAUGGGAGACAGUCAGUGAAGGAACAGGAAACGAAUCUUUUUUAGCUGUUUUAAGAACCAUGACUUUUACUCUGAAUGAAAUAGAGAACCAUUCCAGAGUCUGAAACAAGGAUAAAAAUCUCUGGGAGAGUAGAUUGAGGGGUGAGAGCGGGGGGAAGAAAGAGAGAAAAAUACUCCCCUUUUUUUUUUUUUUUUUACUUUUUAGGGCCACACUCGUGGCAUAUGGAAAUUUCCAGUCUAGGGGUCGAAUCAGAGCUACAACUGCCAGCCUACACCACAGCAACACAGGAUCCAAGCCGAAUCUGCAACCUACACCACAGCUCAUGGCAACGCCAGAUCCUUACCCACUGAGCCAGGCCAGGGAUUGAACCUGCAGCCUCAUGAUUCCUAGUGGGAUUCGUUUCCGCUGGGCCACAGCAAGAACUCCGAAUUCUAGAAAUAUUCUAAAGCUAGGACCAACAGGGCUUGCAGAUGAACUGGAUUUGUGUGUGAUAGAAAAGUGAUGUCAAGGAUUGCUCCAGUAAUGAGAAGAAUGAAGUUGCCAUCAACUAAGAUGGGAAGCAGCUGCAGCAGCAGGUUUUGGCAGGGGCAGGAGUGUGCACAUAUCAGGAGAACAGCUUGGGCAUAGUGAGUCUCUAAAACCUCUGUUCAUCCAAAUGAAAAUGUGAAGUAGAUGGUUAGAUGUGUGUGUGCCUGGGAUUCUGGCAAGUGGCCUGGAGUGGAGAUAAAAACUGGGGAGUCAUUAGUAUGGACAUGUUAUUUCACACUGUGAGAGUGGAGGGAAGUCACCCAGGAAUUGAAUGUGAAUGUAUAAUGAGAAGAGUCCAAGCGCUGAGCACUGGGGUGCAUCCUCCCUAAAUAAUGAGGGUACAAAAAGGAGAAACCAGUGUAGGAGGAAGCCAAGUGAAGAAAGUGAACCAAGGAGAAGAGAGUAGUCAACUGAAUGAAAGGCUGUUGAAUUGACUUACUAUUGGAUCUAGCAGUUUCAGUUGUGUGAUGAGCCUGUAAAUCAGAUUGUAAUGGGCUUAAGGGAAAGUGGGAAAGAGGAACUGGAAUAGUGAGUACAGACAAAUAUUUGGAGGAUUUUCUUGGAAAAGGGCUGAAGGAAAUGGAGGUAGUACCUGCUUCUUCAGUUCUUCACUUUGACUAGAAAUCUUAUCAUCUCCUAUUUUGUAAGUUACAUAGUUAAUUAUGUGAGUAACACUUUUCUUUGAAAAGUAUUGUUUCAUUUCCUUCCCCAUAGCUUCUCAGGACCAUCCCUAUCUUUUAAAAAUAAACAUAGGUUUAUGAGCAAGAUAGUGAGGGGUAAGAACAGAUCUGAGAUAAGAUUCUUCUUUGUGAAUCACUGAUGCUAAACCUAGUACUUUACAAAAUAAAAUACCUUUAAAAACUAUCCAGUAAAGAUUUUGUUCAUGUAUUUCUUAUAAGUUAGUUUAUAGCUAUUUACACAAAACGUAAGAAAAUUUGAAAAGUUUAUAAGUCAUGGAGAGAAUCUCAAUCGUCAUUCCUCCCAGCCCCUUGGAAGAACAGGAAAUUAUAUGCAAAGCUUAUUUUAAGGCCUUUACAAUGCUUAAUUUAUUUAGGUACAUAAAAAUGCAUUAUGUAUAACUUAGCUAAUAAAGCUUUGUUUGGGAUAAUUAAAUUUUUUAAAUAUGGUAGAUUAAGAAAGCGGCUGCAAAUUUACUAAUUGAAUUUGCUAUUCGAUGUUUCUAAUUUUUUUAAAUCACAAAUAGGGUUCUAUAGUUGCUGAGGUGAAAAGAAUUUAACUUUUCUUACAUGUUACAGUAAUUGAAAAGCAGAUCAACCCUGGACAACGAUCUACACCAGUAUUACAAAUAAAUGUGCUGUUUAAACUUGUUUUGUGCUCUUAUGAGUUACAAAGUUUUAGUUUUC
This 4799-nucleotide long non-coding RNA is filed under the name Sus scrofa (pig). RNAcentral's name for it is "lncRNA (ENSSSCG00015005887.1)". Lineage: Eukaryota; Metazoa; Chordata; Mammalia; Artiodactyla; Suidae. The record is from RNAcentral.